Molecule: long non-coding RNA, 1797 nt
Filed under: Salmo salar (Atlantic salmon)
Lineage: Eukaryota; Metazoa; Chordata; Actinopteri; Salmoniformes; Salmonidae
Description: lncRNA (ENSSSAG00000090013.1)
Source: RNAcentral
AAGAUGUCAUCCAGACGUGGCAGGGGGUAUUAGUCCACAUGCAACAUUGAAUUCACAGUUAUCUUGAAGUCCCCACACAUUCUAACAGACCUGUCUUUCUUUACAAUAGGAACUAUGGGUGUGGCCCAUUCGCUUCUGUCCACUUUCAUCAGGAUCCCUGUAUCCUGCAAGCGAUCGAUUUCCGCUUCCACCUUUGGUCUCAGGGAGUAUGGAAGAGAUCUGGCUUUGCAGAAUUUUGGGGUUGCGUCAUCUAUUAGUACAAGUUUUGCUGAGGAAGCCUUUUACUGUUCCCAUCUGAUCACUGAAAACUGUGUUGUAUUUCUUCCGCAGUGUUCCAGUGUUUGGUCUGUGCCUUUCUCUUUGGACUGGAACGUGUGGAGCAUUUUCAAGUCACACCAGUUCAGCUUUAUUUUUGAAAGCCAUUCCCUGCCAAAUAAUGGGGGGCCAGUUCCAGGCACCACAUACAGCUCCCAUUACUCACUCUGACCUGCAAUGCCCCCAUUGGGCUCAAUCUCUCUCCUGAGUAGCUCUUCAUCAACACAUUUGUGUUCUUCAGCUUGAUAGCCUUGAAGUGCUCAUUGUAGACGCUAGUGGAAAUUAUAGACACUGCAGAUCCUGUGUCCAGCUCCAUUUUAAGGGGUUUGCCUUCGAUUUCUGGUGUCACCCAUAUUAUGCUACUGCUGGGAGAAGUCACUGUGUUUAACUCCAUUGUACCAAUUAAUCGUCAUCUGAAUCACUGCCACUGUUCUCUGCUAGUGCAUUCACAGACCCUUUAAUUUUCUAAAUUUUCCUGUUGUGACUGAAUUUUGCUCUGCAUGCUCUUUGAAUGUGACCCCUUCUACUGCAUUUGUGACAAAUUUGGUCUUUGAAACGGCAGUCCUCUGCUCUGUGACCAUCUCUGUCACACCUGUUGCAUUUUUCGGCCACACGGGGGCGCUGUCGGCUGCGUGUGAACUUGUGCAGGGAAGUUUAUGAUAGGUCAGUAUUUCUUUUACUUUGCAACUCAAAUGCAUCUUUAGUCGCGAUUUCCAUAGCCACAGCAAUUUCAACAGCCUUUGCAAACGUGAGAUCUGAUUCUGUGAGCAAACGUUUUUGAAUGUGUUCAUGUUUCAGUCCACAAACAAAUCUAUCCCUUAAUGUGUCAUUUAGGUUCUCUCCAAAAGUGGCAAUGUUCAGACAGUUUCUUCAACUCUGCUACAUAUGUACUAACACCCUCCCCCUCAUUCUGAUCUCUCUUGUGGAAACGAAAAUGUUCCGCGAUGAGGAGUGGUUUAGGUGAUAGGUGAUUUUGCAAUAUCUCCACAAUCUCACUGAAUGUUUUAUUGGAGUGCUUCAGAGGGGCCGUCAGAUCUCUUAGCAAACUGUACGUUUUUGGGCCAAUUAAACUCAACAACGCUGGUACUCUUUUGUUAUCAGCAAUGUCGUUUGCAAUGAAGUACUGUUCCAGUCGUUCAAUGUAAGUUGCCCAGUUUUCUUGCGUGUCAUCAAACACAUCUAUUUUCCCGAUGCUAGCCAUUCUCUUUACCUCCGGCUCCACGGGUCUUUGAUCUGCCGCCUCGUUCUCAUCAGCUCUCCCCUCGUCGUCACUGCUUGCUAUCUGUUGUGCUACAGAGUCUAAAUCUUCCUCUCUUCCUACGAGCUCCAUCUGCAUUCAUGAUACACACUGCAGGUACAUCAAGGCUCUGAGAGCUCAGAUGGAGAGGAUAGCUCUGGAGAAGACAGAGCUCCCCCCUCUCUGUUGCUGCGGAGACAGUUUUUGGGACUCCCAUCCUGACACCUGCGCAAACUGAGUCUUCU